RNAcentral lists this ribosomal RNA (664 nucleotides) under uncultured marine bacterium. RNAcentral describes it as "bacterial SSU rRNA". It matches the Rfam family "Bacterial small subunit ribosomal RNA", at positions 819 to 1482 of the family's 1533-position model. The record is from RNAcentral.
GCCGUUGGGAGACUUGAUCUCUUAGUGGCGCAGUUAACGCGAUAAGUAGACCGCCUGGGGAGUACGGCCGCAAGGUUAAAACUCAAAUGAAUUGACGGGGGCCCGCACAAGCGGUGGAGCAUGUGGUUUAAUUCGACGCAACGCGAAGAACCUUACCAGGUCUUGACAUCCUAGAAACUUAGCAGAGAUGCUUUGGUGCCUUCGGGAAUCUAGUGGCAGGUGCUGCAUGGCUGUCGUCAGCUCGUGUCGUGAGAUGUUGGGUUAAGUCCCGUAACGAGCGCAACCCUUGUCCUUAGUUGCCAGCACGUAAUGGUGGGAACUCUAAGGAGACUGCCGGUGACAAACCGGAGGAAGGUGGGGACGACGUCAAGUCAUCAUGGCCCUUACGACCUGGGCUACACACGUGCUACAAUGGCCAGUACAGAGGGCUGCAAGCCCGCGAGGGGGAGCUAAUCUCACAAAGCUGGUCGUAGUCCGGAUCGCAGUCUGCAACUCGACUGCGUGAAGUUGGAAUCGCUAGUAAUCGUGAAUCAGAAUGUCACGGUGAAUACGUUCCCGGGCCUUGUACACACCGCCCGUCACACCAUGGGAGUAGGUUGCAAAAGAAGUAGCUAGGCUAACCUUCGGGAGGCCGGUUACCACUUUGUGAUUUAUGACUGGGGUG